AACGUCAUCGUAAAAUAUAAAAAAGACAAUCAUGAAAAAUCUUAUGUCAAUCAUUAUAAAAAUCUAAAAGUAUAAAUAAACUAAUAAUUAUGAUAAAAAACUGUUCGUAACACAGUACCUAGAGUUGAACAUGUUUAUUAUGGUGUAAAAACUGAAGCUGGAGCAAGGUCUGGGUAAAUUAUCAAAGGUGGCAAUAUAACAUGAGUAAAUACUCUACAUACUCGCUUAAGAGUUUAAAACCUUGUGUAUCGGCACCAUCAUGUAGCGUACACAGGCACCGACCCCGGCCAGCUCCGUGCCCAGAACCGGACAAGUGCUACAAGAAAUGUAUCAAGCGCAAGAGGAAAUGUCCCAGCGCCUCCGAAACCGUCAGCAGGAGGGGCAUGCCUUGCGAUUGCGCUAGAUUGCAGUCCAAGGAAUCCAGAAUCAGUAACAAAAAAUCACAUAAAACUCACAAAAAGCGGAUGCGCAAAGUUAUGCGGACACGAUCGAUGGAAUCCCGUUGGCGUAAACAGAGAAAAUGCUGUGUUAUUUUGUAGUAUAUUUCAUUACUUAGAAAACAGCAGCAAAGAAUUUCAGAACGAUAUCUCUAAUUUAAAGUUCAUGUUGUACGAAAACAAACAAUUUGUAUUUCAAUUCUAAUAAGAAAACCUUUUUAUAAUUUUUAAACAAAAAAAAAUCUGUCUUUCAUGAACAUGUUUGUUAAUGACCUCAUUAGUUGUAAUGCUGAAAUUAUAGACUUGCGAUAAUA
This is a long non-coding RNA of Papilio polytes (common Mormon), 751 nucleotides long. RefSeq lists it as uncharacterized. The transcript is spliced from 3 exons. The record is from RefSeq and is a predicted model, not a curated record. NCBI's taxonomy places the organism in Eukaryota, Metazoa, Arthropoda, Insecta, Lepidoptera, Papilionidae.